RNAcentral lists this ribosomal RNA (652 nucleotides) under fungal endophyte. RNAcentral describes it as "eukaryotic LSU rRNA". The stretch from base 179 to 332 matches the Rfam family "5.8S ribosomal RNA". Lineage: Eukaryota; Fungi. The record is from RNAcentral.
UAAAGAGUUCUAUAACUCCCAAACCCAUGUGAACAUACCUAACGUUGCCUCGGCAGGUCGCACCUACCUUGUAGCACCCUACCCUGUAGGGCCUACCCGGGAGGUGCGGGUAAGCCUGCCGGCGGCCCACCAAACUCUGUUUGAUAUUGAAUUCUGAACCUAUAACUAAAUAAGUUAAAACUUUCAACAACGGAUCUCUUGGUUCUGGCAUCGAUGAAGAACGCAGCGAAAUGCGAUAAGUAAUGUGAAUUGCAGAAUUCAGUGAAUCAUCGAAUCUUUGAACGCAUAUUGCGCCCAUUAGUAUUCUAGUGGGCAGGACCGUUCGAGCGUCAUUUCAACCCUUAAGCCUUCGUUGCUUAGUGUUGGGAGCCUACGGCAACGUAGCUCCUCAAAGUUAGUGGCGGAGUUGGUUCACACUCUAGACGUAGUAAUUUUUUAUCUCGCCUAUUAGUUGGACUAAUCCCCUGCCGUAAAACCCCCAAUCUAUAUCAAGGUUGACCUCGAAUCGGUUCAGACAAACUCGCUAAAUUGAAGCAUCUUAGUCAGCGAAGGAAAAGAAACCAACAGGGAUUGCCCUAGUAACGGCGAGUGAAGCGGCAACAGCUCAAAUUUGAAAUCUGGCCCUCGGGUCCGAGUUGUAAUUUGUAGAGGA